RNAcentral lists this ribosomal RNA (277 nucleotides) under uncultured eukaryote. RNAcentral describes it as "partial 18S ribosomal RNA". It matches the Rfam family "Eukaryotic small subunit ribosomal RNA", at positions 594 to 945 of the family's 1831-position model. The record is from RNAcentral.
AUAGCGUAUAUUAAAGUUGUUGCAGUUAAAAAGCUCGUAGUUGGAUUUCAAGGGCCGCAGCGUGGACACACGCCUGCACCCUACCAGUCUUUUAGACUGUUACUGUGAGAAAAUUAGAGUGUUUCAAGCAGGCUAUUGCAGGAAUACAUUAGCAUGGAAUAACGAAUGUGUCUAGAAUCUUGGUUAAUUCUAGAUUACGAUUAAUAGGGACAGUUGGGGGCAUUAGUAUUUAAUUGUCAGAGGUGAAAUUCUUGGAUUUGUUAAAGACUAACGUAUG